CGACGAGUGAGCAUCUCAAUACUAAUAGACACACGCUCCGCGAGUAAAAGAGAAGAGUUAAUAAUUAAAUGCAGUAGUGGGGAUACUCUGCCACCCGUAAAGUGAUAUAAGGCGGCCGCCUUUGACAGUAGGUCCAGUCAUGCCACGAAUUUCCACCAUACACAUAUGAAUCCACGUGAAUGAAACGGGGUGGUGGGGAUGGUCUGCCACUCGGAGGAGAUAUAAGGCGGCCGUCUUUGACAGUAGGUCCAGUCAUGCCACGAAUUUUUACCAUACACAUAUGAAUCCGCGUGAAUGAAACGGGGUGGUGGGGAUGGUCUGCCACUCGGAGGAGAUAUAAGGCGGCCGUCUUUGACAGUAGGUCCAGUCAUGCCACGAAUUUUUACCAUACACAUAUGAAUCCGCGUGGUACGCACGCUCCGC
Long non-coding RNA from Vespula vulgaris, 423 nucleotides. RefSeq lists it as uncharacterized. The record is from RefSeq and is a predicted model, not a curated record. The transcript has 4 exons. NCBI's taxonomy places the organism in Eukaryota, Metazoa, Arthropoda, Insecta, Hymenoptera, Vespidae.